AAUUGAUAAAGACCUUAUAAUGGUCAGUAACAAAUCCUAUACAUUAAGCGGUGGCUCUAAUAUCAAACGUUCUAAUGCUGAUUUAAGGCCUUCACUGUCAAGAGGACAUCCAAGGUCAUUCCAUGGAGUAAAAAGAGUCCCCGAUGAUAUGUUUUCAAUUGAUCACAGAGAGAAGAAUGAAGAUAUAGUUGAUUCUGCUGAAUAUCUCUACUAUAAUGAUAAGAAGAGAAGGAUAGGUUAUGAUGAAGCAUUUUCGAGGGAUAAUGCUGCAGAAGAUAAGCUUCAUGUUCACUCGCCCACUGAAGAAUUAGGAUUUCCUGGAGAUGACGAGUGGUCUUUGAAUGACAGGGUAAAGAGGAAGCAUA
RNAcentral lists this unclassified non-coding RNA (365 nucleotides) under Hevea brasiliensis (rubber tree). Lineage: Eukaryota; Viridiplantae; Streptophyta; Magnoliopsida; Malpighiales; Euphorbiaceae. The record is from RNAcentral.